UGGACAGAUUAUUAUAUUCGCCUGUAUUCACGGCAUGAUACAAGGGAUUACACUAUUUUUAAAUGGAAAGUGAAUAAAUUAACAUAAUCGACUCCU
Molecule: microRNA precursor, 96 nt
Filed under: Nicotiana sylvestris (wood tobacco)
Lineage: Eukaryota; Viridiplantae; Streptophyta; Magnoliopsida; Solanales; Solanaceae
Also listed under: 1 other name
Description: MIR6152 microRNA precursor family
Rfam family: MIR6152 microRNA precursor family
Source: Rfam by way of RNAcentral